CGGAUUGCAGGCUGCAACCCGCCUGUAUGAAGUUGGAAUCGCUAGUAAUCGCGGAUCAGCAUGCCGCGGUGAAUACGUUCCCGGGCCUUGUACACACCGCCCGUCACACCAUGAGAGUCGGGAACACCCGAAGUCCGUAGCCUAACCGCAAGGGGGCGCGGCCGAAGGUGGGUUCGAUAAUUGGGGUGAAGUCGUAACAAGGUACC
This 206-nucleotide ribosomal RNA is filed under the name uncultured bacterium. Its description in RNAcentral is "partial 16S ribosomal RNA". It matches the Rfam family "Bacterial small subunit ribosomal RNA", at positions 1294 to 1500 of the family's 1533-position model. The record is from RNAcentral.